Molecule: ribosomal RNA, 115 nt
Filed under: Pteropus alecto (black flying fox)
Lineage: Eukaryota; Metazoa; Chordata; Mammalia; Chiroptera; Pteropodidae
Also listed under: 1 other name
Source: RNAcentral
GUCUCCAGUCAUGCCACCCUGAACAAUCCGAUGUCUGAUCUCGGAAGCUAAGCAGGGUUGGGCCUGGUUAGUACUUGGAUGGGAGACCACCUAAGAAGACCAGGUGCUGUAGGCA